This is a long non-coding RNA of Talpa occidentalis (Iberian mole), 424 nucleotides long. RefSeq lists it as uncharacterized. The transcript has 3 exons. The record is from RefSeq and is a predicted model, not a curated record. Lineage: Eukaryota; Metazoa; Chordata; Mammalia; Eulipotyphla; Talpidae.
GCUCCGGCGCCCGCUUCCCUCCAUCUUGCCUCCCGCAGAGUGCCCUCGUGCCUGCUCUCGCACAGCAAGGCCGGGUGACCUCAGCGACGUGAGGAGAUAGUGGAAGUGGGUAAACCGCGUUCCCGAGAAUUCGUCUCUGGGGCCUCAGGGCAGGUUGGACUUUUGCCACUUCCUGCAGCCCACAGACGUUUAUUGAGCACCUACUAGAUCUAUCAGAUAUAGGGGAAAAAAUGCAGCAGCCUCACCCAGAUUCUGCUAUGCCUACAAUGCUGCAUCUGAAAGACUGAAGAGGUCCAGGACUCACUAGAAGUCCACAAGUGGCGCCCGAACAGGGACCUGAAGGGGACCUCCCACUAAAGGGAUGAGGUGACAACGUCUGCAGUGGAAGUUUACAUAAGGUGGUGAGUAAACAAGGGGAAGAAUA